This 585-nucleotide long non-coding RNA is filed under the name Numida meleagris (helmeted guineafowl). RNAcentral's name for it is "lncRNA (ENSNMEG00000000300.1)". The record is from RNAcentral. Lineage: Eukaryota; Metazoa; Chordata; Aves; Galliformes; Numididae.
UUCACUCCCUGCAUGAGCAGGAUUUCCAAAAUCUUUUUUUUUUGCAGACCCUCCUGGUAGUUCUAGGGAGCUACUUUUUCAUGAGUAAAGCUGAUUUUCUCCAUGGGAUUCUUCCAGUGGCCUGCUUCUCAGACUGUACUAUGGAGAGAGCUUAUACGCCUCUUGUAGGUGCUUGGGCUCUUUUUCCCACUGCCAGUCUCCACUUUCAGGUGGAUAAGGAGACGCAUGCACACACUUAUUUAUUGCAACAGCCUUGCAGUGCCUUUGUUCCAAAACAAGCCAUGAACAGAGGGAAAAGCUGCCACAGUUGAGCCUACGUCCCCGCUCCAGCAUCCUUCAUAGAAUCACAGAAUCACAGAAAUGUUUGGACUGGAAGGUAUCUUAAAGAUCACACAGUUCCAAACUCCUGCCAUUGUAAGGGACACCUUCCUCUAGACCAGCCUGCUAAAUCUACUAUCUCUUAGUUUAAAGUUGUUAACUUCUUGUCCUUUUGCUAUACUCCAUGGUAAAGAGUCCUUCACUGUCUUUCCUGUAGAUUCCCUUUAUGUACUGGAUGGCCACAAUAAAGUUUCCCUGAGGCCUUCA